AUUGAACGCUGGCGGCAGGCCUCACACAUGCACGUCGAGCGAGCGGCGGACGGGUGAGUCAUGUCUGGGAAACUGCCUGAUGGAGUGGGAUAACUACUGGAACCGGUAGCUAAUACCGCAUACCAUCAGAUGUGCCCAGAUGGGAUUAGCUAUGAGGUGGGGUAACGGCUCACCUAGGCGACGAUCCCUAGCUGUUCUGAGAGGAUGACCAGCCAAACGGGAACGGAGACACGGUCCAGAUUCCUACGGGAGGCAGCAGGGGGGAAUAUUGCACAAUGGGUGCAAGCCUGAGGCAGCCAUGCCGCGUGUAUGAAGAAGGCCUGCGGGUUGUAAAGUACUUUCAGCGGGGAGGCGUUACCCGCAGAAGAAGCACCGGCUAACUCCGUGCCAGCAGCCGCGGUAAUUC
Molecule: ribosomal RNA, 406 nt
Filed under: uncultured bacterium
Lineage: Bacteria
Description: partial 16S ribosomal RNA
Rfam family: Bacterial small subunit ribosomal RNA
Source: RNAcentral